GCAUAACGCGAAGAACCUUACCCACCUUUGACAUGUACGGAAUCCUUUAGAGAUAGAGGAGUGCUCGAAAGAGAGCCGUAACACAGGUGCUGCAUGGCUGUCGUCAGCUCGUGUCGUGAGAUGUUGGGUUAAGUCCCGCAACGAGCGCAACCCUUGCCAUUAGUUGCUACAUUUAGUUGAGCACUCUAAUGGGACUGCCGGUGACAAACCGGAGGAAGGUGGGGAUGACGUCAAGUCCUCAUGGCCCUUAUAGGUGGGGCUACACACGUCAUACAAUGGCUGGUACAAAGGGUUGCCAACCCGCGAGGGGGAGCUAAUCCCAUAAAGCCAGUCGUAGUCCGGAUCGCAGUCUGCAACUCGACUGCGUGAAGUCGGAAUCGCUAGUAAUCGUGGAUCAGAAUGUCACGGUGAAUACGUUCCCGGGUC
This 426-nucleotide ribosomal RNA is filed under the name uncultured bacterium. Its description in RNAcentral is "bacterial SSU rRNA". It matches the Rfam family "Bacterial small subunit ribosomal RNA", at positions 954 to 1380 of the family's 1533-position model. The record is from RNAcentral.